RNAcentral lists this long non-coding RNA (617 nucleotides) under Homo sapiens (human). RNAcentral's name for it is "HSALNT0246213". Lineage: Eukaryota; Metazoa; Chordata; Mammalia; Primates; Hominidae. The record is from RNAcentral.
CUUGGGUGGGGUGCAGGCGGGGUGCAGCAACCCCUGCCUCUCCUUCUUCUUCUUGGCCUUCUGGUUGGCCUCCAUCUUGACCACAGAGGAGGGUGAGGGCCCCAGCACGGCCACACUGGCCCCGGUGUGCAGCAGCAGCCCUGCUUCCCUGGGUGGUGCCUCUGUCCCCAGGAGACCCUCGCAGUCCUCACUGUCAUAGCCACUGCCUGGGAGAGAGGCAGAGGGGUCCUGAUGACUUGAUGCCCCGCCGAGGCCACGGAGAGAGGAGGGGCAGGAGGCAGCUGUUGUGCCAAGAAAGAAGGGGUGUCGGCAGCCGAGAGAGCCCCCACCACGCCAAGAAGAAACAGGGUGCCAGCAGCGUGGGGAGCCCCCCCACACCAAGAAGAAAGGGGGUGCCGGCAGCCGGAGGAGCCCCCGCCACACCAAGUGUGCCCUGGGCCACCUGAAGAAAGGGUCACCCUCCUCCUCCUGCUGUCGGCGCUCGGAGCUCCCCAGCCUUGCUUCGCUCAUCUGAGCAAUGGGUUUCGGCACAGGGCUGGGGAGAGUCUGCUACCUGCCAGGAAGGGACCUGAAGGGACCUGAAGGGCCCUGGGGCAAGGCGGGCGCCUCGGCACUCA